This 265-nucleotide ribosomal RNA is filed under the name uncultured bacterium. RNAcentral's name for it is "partial 16S ribosomal RNA". It matches the Rfam family "Bacterial small subunit ribosomal RNA", at positions 793 to 1055 of the family's 1533-position model. The record is from RNAcentral.
GUCCACGCCAUAAACGAUGGGCACUAGGUGUCGCGGGUAUUGACCCCUGCGGUGCCACAGCUAACGCAUUAAGUGCCCCGCCUGGGGAUUACGGCCGCAAGGUUAAAACUCAAAGGAAUUGACGGGGCCCGCACAAGCGGUGGAGCAUGUGGUUCAAUUCGACGCAACGCGAAGAACCUUACCUGGGCUAGACAACAUCGGACAGCCCCCAGAGAUGGGGUCUUCCCUUCGGGGACUGGUGGUUCAGGUGCUGCAUGGCUGUCGU